This 598-nucleotide ribosomal RNA is filed under the name Escherichia coli. RNAcentral describes it as "partial 23S ribosomal RNA". It matches the Rfam family "Bacterial large subunit ribosomal RNA", at positions 418 to 1017 of the family's 2925-position model. The record is from RNAcentral. Lineage: Bacteria; Pseudomonadati; Pseudomonadota; Gammaproteobacteria; Enterobacterales; Enterobacteriaceae.
CGGGACACGUGGUAUCCUGUCUGAAUAUGGGGGGACCAUCCUCCAAGGCUAAAUACUCCUGACUGACCGAUAGUGAACCAGUACCGUGAGGGAAAGGCGAAAAGAACCCCGGCGAGGGGAGUGAAAAAGAACCUGAAACCGUGUACGUACAAGCAGUGGGAGCCUCUUUAUGGGGUGACUGCGUACCUUUUGUAUAAUGGGUCAGCGACUUAUAUUCUGUAGCAAGGUUAACCGAAUAGGGGAGCCGAAGGGAAACCGAGUCUUAACUGGGCGUUAAGUUGCAGGGUAUAGACCCGAAACCCGGUGAUCUAGCCAUGGGCAGGUUGAAGGUUGGGUAACACUAACUGGAGGACCGAACCGACUAAUGUUGAAAAAUUAGCGGAUGACUUGUGGCUGGGGGUGAAAGGCCAAUCAAACCGGGAGAUAGCUGGUUCUCCCCGAAAGCUAUUUAGGUAGCGCCUCGUGAAUUCAUCUCCGGGGGUAGAGCACUGUUUCGGCAAGGGGGUCAUCCCGACUUACCAACCCGAUGCAAACUGCGAAUACCGGAGAAUGUUAUCACGGGAGACACACGGCGGGUGCUAACGUCCGUCGUGAAGAG